This 74-nucleotide transfer RNA is filed under the name Methanobacteriota archaeon. RNAcentral describes it as "Euryarchaeota archaeon tRNA-Arg". It matches the Rfam family "tRNA". Rfam says of the family: Transfer RNA (tRNA) molecules are approximately 80 nucleotides in length. Their secondary structure includes four short double-helical elements and three loops (D, anti-codon, and T loops). Lineage: Archaea; Methanobacteriati; Methanobacteriota. The record is from RNAcentral. RNAcentral also lists the same sequence under 3 other names.
GGGCCCGUAGUGUAGUGGAAUCACCGUAGCCUCCGGAGCUUCAGACCCGGGUUCGAAUCCCGGCGGGCCCGCCA